UACCCUGAAGCACAGGUGUCAUGUACCCUGAAGCACAGGUGUCACGUACCCUGAAGCACAUUACAUUCCAAACAUUUUUGGGCUAAACUUAAAUAUUGCAUUGACUCUUAAUUUGAAAGCAAAUGAUGUAUAAAAAUGAGCACAGUGAAAAUUAAUUGACAGUAAAAUAGUGUUAGCUGAUGUUGCUACACAGUAAUUAAUACAACAUAGAUUAGACAGUAAAAUAGUGUUAGCUGAUGUUGCUACACAGUAAUUAAUACAACAUAGAUUAGACAGUAAAAUAGUGUUAGCUGAUGUUGCUACACAGUAAUUAAUACAACAUAGAUUAGACAGUAAAAUAGUGUUAGCUGAUGUUGCUACACAGUAAUUAAUACACCAUAGAUUAGACAGUAAAAUAGUGUUAGCUGAUGUUGCUACACAGUAAUUAAUACAACAUAGAUUAGACAGUAAAAUAGUGUUAGCUGAUGUUACUACACAGUAAUUAAUACAACAUAGAUUAGACAGUAAAAUAGUGUUAGCUGAUGUUGCUACACAGUAAUUAAUACACCAUAGAUUAGACAGUAAAAUAGUGUUAGCUGAUGUUGCUACACAGUAAUUAAUACAACAUAGAUUAGACAGUAAAAUAGUGUUAGCUGAUGUUGCUACACAGUAAUUAAUACACCAUAGAUUAGACAGUAAAAUAGUGUUAGCUGAUGUUGCUACACAGUAAUUAAUACAACAUAGAUUAGACAGUAAAAUAGUGUUAGCUGAUGUUGCUACACAGUAAUUAAUACAACAUAGAUUAGACAGUAAAAUAGUGUUAGCUGAUGUUGCUACACAGUAAUUAAUACAACAUAGAUUAGACAGUAAAAUAGUGUUAGCUGAUGUUGCUACACAGUAAUUAAUACACCAUAGAUUAGACAGUAAAAUAGUGUUAGCUGAUGUUGCUACACAGUAAUUAAUACAACAUAGAUUAGACAGUAAAAUAGUGUUAGCUGAUGUUGCUACACAGUAAUUAAUACAACAUAGAUUAGACAGUAAAAUAGUGUUAGCUGAUGUUGCUACACAGUAAUUAAUACAACAUAGAUUAGACAGUAAAAUAGUGUUAGCUGAUGUUGCUACACAGUAAUUAAUACAACAUAGAUUAGACAGUAAAAUAGUGUUAGCUGAUGUUGCUACACAGUAAUUAAUACAACAUAGAUUAGACAGUAAAAUAGUGUUAGCUGAUGUUGCUACACAGUAAUUAAUACACCAUAGAUUAGACAGUAAAAUAGUGUUAGCUGAUGUUGCUACACAGUAAUUAAUACACCAUAGAUUAGACAGUAAAAUAGUGUUAGCUGAUGUUACUACACAGUAAUUAAUACACCAUAGAUUAGACAGUAAAAUAGUGUUAGCUGAUGUUGCUACACAGUAAUUAAUACAACAUAGAUUAGACAGUAAAAUAGUGUUAGCUGAUGUUGCUACACAGUAAUUAAUACAACAUAGAUUAGACAGUAAAAUAGUGUUAGCUGAUGUUGCUACACAGUAAUUAAUACAACAUAGAUUAGACAGUAAAAUAGUGUUAGCUGAUGUUGCUACACAGUAAUUAAUACAACAUAGAUUAGACAGUAAAAUAGUGUUAGCUGAUGUUGCUACACAGUAAUUAAUACAACAUAGAUUAGACAGUAAAAUAGUGUUAGCUGAUGUUACUACACAGUAAUUAAUACAACAUAGAUUAGACAGUAAAAUAGUGUUAGCUGAUGUUGCUACACAGUAAUUAAUACAACAUAGAUUAGACAGUAAAAUAGUGUUAGCUGAUGUUGCUACACAGUAAUUAAUACAACAUAGAUUAGACAGUAAAAUAGUGUUAGCUGAUGUUGCUACACAGUAAUUAAUACAACAUAGAUUAGACAGUAAAAUAGUGUUAGCUGAUGUUACUACACAGUAAUUAAUACAACAUAGAUUAGACAGUAAAAUAGUGUUAGCUGAUGUUGCUACACAGUAAUUAAUACACCAUAGAUUAGACAGUAAAAUAGUGUUAGCUGAUGUUACUACACAGUAAUUAAUACAACAUAGAUUAGACAGUAAAAUAGUGUUAGCUGAUGUUACUACACAGUAAUUAAUACACCAUAGAUUAGACAGUAAAAUAGUGUUAGCUGAUGUUGCUACACAGUAAUUAAUACAACAUAGAUUAGACAGUAAAAUAGUGUUAGCUGAUGUUGCUACACAGUAAUUAAUACAACAUAGAUUAGACAGUAAAAUAGUGUUAGCUGAUGUUGCUACACAGUAAUUAAUACACCAUAGAUUAGACAGUAAAAUAGUGUUAGCUGAUGUUGCUACACAGUAAUUAAUACACCAUAGAUUAGACAGUAAAAUAGUGUUAGCUGAUGUUACUACACAGUAAUUAAUACAACAUAGAUUAGACAGUAAAAUAGUGUUAGCUGAUGUUGCUACACAGUAAUUAAUACAACAUAGAUUAGACAGUAAAAUAGUGUUAGCUGAUGUUGCUACACAGUAAUUAAUACACCAUAGAUUAGACAGUAAAAUAGUGUUAGCUGAUGUUACUACACAGUAAUUAAUACACCAUAGAUUAGACAGUAAAAUAGUGUUAGCUGAUGUUGCUACACAGUAAUUAAUACACCAUAGAUUAGACAGUAAAAUAGUGUUAGCUGAUGUUGCUACACAGUAAUUAAUACAACAUAGAUUAGACAGUAAAAUAGUGUUAGCUGAUGUUGCUACACAGUAAUUAAUACACCAUAGAUUAGACAGUAAAAUAGUGUUAGCUGAUGUUGCUACACAGUAAUUAAUACAACAUAGAUUAGACAGUAAAAUAGUGUUAGCUGAUGUUGCUACACAGUAAUUAAUACAACAUAGAUUAGACAGUAAAAUAGUGUUAGCUGAUGUUACUACACAGUAAUUAAUACACCAUAGAUUAGACAGUAAAAUAGUGUUAGCUGAUGUUGCUACACAGUAAUUAAUACAACAUAGAUUAGACAGUAAAAUAGUGUUAGCUGAUGUUGCUACACAGUAAUUAAUACAACAUAGAUUAGACAGUAAAAUAGUGUUAGCUGAUGUUGCUACACAGUAAUUAAUACAACAUAGAUUAGACAGUAAAAUAGUGUUAGCUGAUGUUGCUACACAGUAAUUAAUACAACAUAGAUUAGACAGUAAAAUAGUGUUAGCUGAUGUUGCUACACAGUAAUUAAUACAACAUAGAUUAGACAGUAAAAUAGUGUUAGCUGAUGUUACUACACAGUAAUUAAUACAACAUAGAUUAGACAGUAAAAUAGUGUUAGCUGAUGUUGCUACACAGUAAUUAAUACACCAUAGAUUAGACAGUAAAAUAGUGUUAGCUGAUGUUGCUACACAGUAAUUAAUACACCAUAGAUUAGACAGUAAAAUAGUGUUAGCUGAUGUUACUACACAGUAAUUAAUACACCAUAGAUUAGACAGUAAAAUAGUGUUAGCUGAUGUUGCUACACAGUAAUUAAUACAACAUAGAUUAGACAGUAAAAUAGUGUUAGCUGAUGUUGCUACACAGUAAUUAAUACAACAUAGAUUAGACAGUAAAAUAGUGUUAGCUGAUGUUGCUACACAGUAAUUAAUACAACAUAGAUUAGACAGUAAAAUAGUGUUAGCUGAUGUUGCUACACAGUAAUUAAUACAACAUAGAUUAGACAGUAAAAUAGUGUUAGCUGAUGUUGCUACACAGUAAUUAAUACAACAUAGAUUAGACAGUAAAAUAGUGUUAGCUGAUGUUGCUACACAGUAAUUAAUACACCAUAGAUUAGACAGUAAAAUAGUGUUAGCUGAUGUUACUACACAGUAAUUAAUACACCAUAGAUUAGACAGUAAAAUAGUGUUAGCUGAUGUUACUACACAGUAAUUAAUACACCAUAGAUUAGACAGUAAAAUAGUGUUAGCUGAUGUUGCUACACAGUAAUUAAUACACCAUAGAUUAGACAGUAAAAUAGUGUUAGCUGAUGUUGCUACACAGUAAUUAAUACAACAUAGAUUAGACAGUAAAAUAGUGUUAGCUGAUGUUGCUACACAGUAAUUAAUACAACAUAGAUUAGACAGUAAAAUAGUGUUAGCUGAUGUUGCUACACAGUAAUUAAUACAACAUAGAUUAGACAGUAAAAUAGUGUUAGCUGAUGUUGCUACACAGUAAUUAAUACACCAUAGAUUAGACAGUAAAAUAGUGUUAGCUGAUGUUGCUACACAGUAAUUAAUACAACAUAGAUUAGACAGUAAAAUAGUGUUAGCUGAUGUUGCUACACAGUAAUUAAUACAACAUAGAUUAGACAGUAAAAUAGUGUUAGCUGAUGUUACUACACAGUAAUUAAUACACCAUAGAUUAGACAGUAAAAUAGUGUUAGCUGAUGUUACUACACAGUAAUUAAUACACCAUAGAUUAGACAGUAAAAUAGUGUUAGCUGAUGUUGCUACACAGUAAUUAAUACAACAUAGAUUAGACAGUAAAAUAGUGUUAGCUGAUGUUGCUACACAGUAAUUAAUACAACAUAGAUUAGACAGUAAAAUAGUGUUAGCUGAUGUUGCUACACAGUAAUUAAUACACCAUAGAUUAGACAGUAAAAUAGUGUUAGCUGAUGUUGCUACACAGUAAUUAAUACAACAUAGAUUAGACAGUAAAAUAGUGUUAGCUGAUGUUGCUACACAGUAAUUAAUACACCAUAGAUUAGACAGUAAAAUAGUGUUAGCUGAUGUUACUACACAGUAAUUAAUACAACAUAGAUUAGACAGUAAAAUAGUGUUAGCUGAUGUUGCUACACAGUAAUUAAUACACCAUAGAUUAGACAGUAAAAUAGUGUUAGCUGAUGUUGCUACACAGUAAUUAAUACACCAUAGAUUAGACAGUAAAAUAGUGUUAGCUGAUGUUGCUACACAGUAAUUAAUACACCAUAGAUUAGACAGUAAAAUAGUGUUAGCUGAUGUUACUACACAGUAAUUAAUACACCAUAGAUUAGACAGUAAAAAUGAUGGUACUGCUUUUCCAUUUUUCAUUGAUAUACUGUAUAAAAAUGAAUAUACCGGUCAGAUUUUGGCAACUGAGCUGUGAGUUUUUUAAUUGUAAAAGCUACAGAUUUUUUUUUGUUACAUAAUUUUUACAGUUUACGUAAAAAAACAAUGCAUUUUUAACAAUGGUGUAGUACUAUCAUGAGGCAGUUGAAUAAUGGUGUAGUACUAUCAUGAGGCAGUUGAAUAAUGGUGUAGUACUAUCAUGAGGCAGUUGAAUAAAGGUGUAGUACUAUCAUGAGGCAGUUGAAUAAUGGUGUAGUACUAUCAUGAGGCAGUUGAAUAAAGGUGUAGUACUAUCAUGAGGCAGUUGAAUAAUGGUGUAGUACUAUCAUGAGGCAGUUGAAUAAUGGUGUAGUACUAUCAUGAGGCAGUUGAAUAAAGGUGUAGUACUAUCAUGAGGCAGUUGAAUAAUGGUGUAGUACUAUCAUGAGGCAGUUGAAUAAAGGUGUAGUACUAUCAUGAGGCAGUUGAAUAAUGGUGUAGUACUAUCAUGAGGCAGUUGAAUAAUGGUGUAGUACUAUCAUGAGGCAGUUGAAUAAAGGUGUAGUACUAUCAUGAGGCAGUUGAAUAAUGGUGUAGUACUAUCAUGAGGCAGUUGAAUAAAGGUGUAGUACUAUCAUGAGGCAGUUGAAUAAAGGUGUAGUACUAUCAUGAGGCAGUUGAAUAAAGGUGUAGUACUAUCAUGAGGCAGUUUAUUAAUGGUGUAGUACUAUCAUGAGGCAGUUGAAUAAUGGUGUAGUACUAUCAUGAGGCAGUUUAUUAAUGGUGUAGUACUAUCAUGAGGCAGUUGAAUAAUGGUGUAGUACUAUCAUGAGGCAGUUGAAUAAUGGUGUAGUACUAUCAUGAGGCAGUUGAAUAAUGGUGUAGUACUAUCAUGAGGCAGUUGAAUAAUGGUGUAGUACUAUCAUGAGGCAGUUUAUUAAUGGUGUAGUACUAUCAUGAGGCAGUUGAAUAAUGGUGUAGUACUAUCAUGAGGCAGUUGAAUAAUGGUGUAGUACUAUCAUGAGGCAGUUGAAUAAAGGUGUAGUACUAUCAUGAGGGUGUUUAAUGAUGGGGUAGUACUAUCAUGAGGGUGUUUAAUAAUGGUGUAGUACUAUCAUGAGGGUGUUUAAUGAUGGUGUAGUACUAUCAUGAGGGUGUUUAAUAAUGGUGUAGUACUAUCAUGAGGGUGUUUAAUAAUGGUGUAGUACUAUCAUGAGGGUGUUUAAUAAUGGUGUAGUACUAUCAUGAGGGUGUUUAAUAAUGGUGUAGUACUAUCAUGAGGGUGUUUAAUAAUGGUGUAGUACUACCAUGAGGCAGUUUGUAUUCCUCACUGAGGGCCGCCAUAACCGCCAUGUGGCCCUCAAUGAAAAGCAUCUAAAUCAUGUUAGAUUUGUCAUUUGAAAUCCAUGGUUGACAUGCCACAAUCAUUUCUUGAAACCCAAAGUGCUCCCAGGAUGCCUUGCAGCACUUUUCAGCAUCUUCACAUGACCUGGUGACCUCUAUUGUUCAAUUGUAACCCUAAGUAACACUUUAUGAUAGUUUGUACUAUUGUCAAAGAUGUUCACAUGCAGCUUAAGUCCAAAUUCUUCAAAAUUCACAUUGAGUCUUUUCUACCACAAAUUGUAUUGAUACAUUUAUACAUUUAAACAUACAUUUAAACAUAUAUACAUUUAAACAUACAUUUAAACAUACAUACAUUUAUACAUGUAAACAUACAUUUAAACAUACAUUUAAACAUACAUACAUGUAAACAUACAUAUAAACAUACAUACAUGUAAGCAUACAUUUAAACAUACAUACAUGGUGUGUUGUAAACAUACAUUUAAACAUACAUACAUGUAAACAUACAUUUAAACAUACAUACAUGGUGUGUUGUAAACAUACAUUUAAACAUACAUACAUUUAUACAUGUAAACAUACAUUUAAACAUACAUUUAAACAUACAUAUAUUUAUACAUGUAAACAUACAUUUAAACAUACAUGUAAACAUACAUAUAAACAUACAUACAUGUAAACAUACAUGUAAACAUACAUACAUGUAAACAUACAUUUAAACAUACAUACGUGGUGUGUUGUGCCAAUAACUCAUGUCUGGGGAUGCAGAAUAUGAACGUCCUCUUAAGUGCAAAAAUAGUCUUCAAAAUAAAAGCAUAGCGCUAAUUAAAAACAAUCCAGGUUUUAUUGUCAUUGUAGGCAAGAAUAAGAGCAUCAACCUUGUUAUGUAAGAAUAUCCAACAUUGAUUGAUUGCCUCCCUUGCAGCACACGCAAUAAACUGCACAAUCUGCAUUGAGAAAAUCUGCACAAAUGGAAGGAAAACAAUGUCAAAAAAUGAAUAGUUAUCAUAGUUCCAAAUGUGGCCACGUUAGCAAGUCCCACGGGCGUCCAGAUCAAAUAUUACACUAAUAUGUUGUUAGCUUGACAUAUUUCUGUCUUUUGCCAUCUUUAACUUGACAUUGUUUGAUUUGUGCACGCGGCCUUCAGUUUGGACACCCUGACUUCACGCCUGGUGUCACGUGACAAGCAGAAACACUUCCUGUUUGCUGCCCGUCACCUGACUCAUCCUCCUCUCAUUUAAGCGGCAAAGAAAAAGUCAAGCUUGCAAGGUCGUCAACUUCCUUUUGUGUACGUUGGAGAAAAGGUAGAUAUCUCAGGUAGUAGUCUCAUCCAAAUGUGAGAAGUAGUUCCAUUUUGUGUGAAAUAUUUAGCUUUUGAUUAGCUUCCCCGACAAGUAGAACACGUGGCUGGAGGCUGCUUUGCCCUUUUAGAAUGUAUUUUGUGAAGAGAAGGGUAGGCGGCAGCGUCUUGUCCACGCCUGCUGCCGGACGCAACACCAAGUGUCGUCACGCCAGCAAUAUUUAGCGUCCGUGUUGGUCCGGCAAGCAGAAUCCACUGAAUGUAAACAAAAAUCAACAACAACAACAAAACCUCCCAACAGUCCAGGAGGCGGCGCGAUGGGCGUGGCCUGCUGACUUUAGACGCAUCAGGCCUGCGCGUGAGAGUGUGCACUUAUGUGUACUUAAUGUGUGUACUUAGUGUGUGUGUGUGUGUGUGUGUGUGUGUGAAGUGCAGAUGUCAGGUCUUCAGUCUAAAUGAGGCAAAGGAGACGAAAAUAUUGUUGGCCACUUUCUGCUCGCGCUGCACUCUUUUUGACUUUAAACAUUUCCUAUGCAGUUUUUUUGUUUACACUUCAAUAAAGUUGUACUUGUUUGACUUCAA
Molecule: long non-coding RNA, 8197 nt
Organism: Entelurus aequoreus (snake pipefish)
Lineage: Eukaryota; Metazoa; Chordata; Actinopteri; Syngnathiformes; Syngnathidae
Exons: 2
Source: RefSeq, a predicted model, not a curated record